This 460-nucleotide long non-coding RNA is filed under the name Amborella trichopoda. RNAcentral describes it as "long non-coding RNA (ATRI_LNC005268)". The record is from RNAcentral. Lineage: Eukaryota; Viridiplantae; Streptophyta; Magnoliopsida; Amborellales; Amborellaceae.
UGGCAUACAGGUGCAUACGUAGGUGUAGAGGUAAAGUCCACAUUCAAAUUUUAUCAUGGUAUAUAAUUUUGAUGUAAAAUGUUAUUAGGAUUAUUUCAAAAUCUAUUUUUAUAUCUAAUUAUAAAAUUUUAAAUUUCAAAAAUGGUUAAAAUCAAGUAGAUCUAUAAACAUAUCAAAAUCUUGAAAAUGGACGAUAUAGAUAACAUGUUGUAACAUGCACCAUUUCUGAGAUUUAAAAUCUUUUUAUUUUUCAUAGUCGUACAUCUCGAUGUCGAGAUGAUCAAUCAAAGUGUUUUUCAACAUUAAAACUAUCUUUUCCAAUAGAUUUUUGAGGGGUAACCAUAGUUCUACAUUAUAAGGCAGCAACCUUUCAUAAACUUUUUCCUUUUUUAAAACAUAAAUUCGUUAUUGUAGGAGUAAAGUUUAUAAUGUGCUAGCUAGACAAGAAAAAGUUUACAAU